This 253-nucleotide ribosomal RNA is filed under the name uncultured prokaryote. RNAcentral's name for it is "partial 16S ribosomal RNA". It matches the Rfam family "Bacterial small subunit ribosomal RNA", at positions 524 to 776 of the family's 1533-position model. The record is from RNAcentral.
UACAGAGGUCUCAAGCGUUGUUCGGAUUCAUUGGGCGUAAAGGGUGUGUAGGUGGCGCGCUAAGUCGGGUGUGAAAGCCCCGGGCUUAACCUGGGAACUGCGUUUGAUACGGAUGGGCUAGAGUUCGGGAGAGGAGAGUGGAAUUCCCAGUGUAGAGGUGAAAUUCGUAGAUAUUGGGAAGAACACCGGUGGCGAAGGCGGUUCUCUGGACCGAGACUGACGCUGAGGCGCGAAAGCGUGGGGAGCAAACAGG